UGAGGAAUAUUGGACAAUGGGCGCAAGCCUGAUCCAGCAAUGCCGCGUGCAGGAUGAAGGCCUUCGGGUUGUAAACUGCUUUUGUACGGAGCGAAAAGGUCUGCCCUAAUACGGUGGGCUCAUGACGGUACCGUAAGAAUAAGCACCGGCUAACUACGUGCCAGCAGCCGCGGUAAUACGUAGGGUGCGAGCGUUAAUCGGAAUUACUGGGCGUAAAGCGUGCGCAGGCGGUUAUAUAAGACAGAUGUGAAAUCCCCGGGCUCAACCUGGGACCUGCAUUUGUGACUGUAUAGCUAGAGUACGGUAGAGGGGGAUGGAAUUCCGCGUGUAGCAGUGAAAUGCAUAGAUAUGCGGAGGAACACCGAUGGCGAAGGCAAUCCCCUGGACCUGUACUGACGCUCAUGCACGAAAGCGUGGGGAGCAAACA
RNAcentral lists this ribosomal RNA (427 nucleotides) under uncultured bacterium. RNAcentral describes it as "bacterial SSU rRNA". It matches the Rfam family "Bacterial small subunit ribosomal RNA", at positions 355 to 774 of the family's 1533-position model. The record is from RNAcentral.